UACGGAGGGUGCAAGCGUUAAUCGGAAUUACUGGGCGUAAAGCGCGCGUAGGCGGUUUUUUAAGUCGGAUGUGAAAGCCCCGGGCUCAACCUGGGAACUGCAUCCGAUACUGGAUCACUAGAAUGCGGGAGAGGGAGGUAGAAUUCCAUGUGUAGCAGUGAAAUGCGUAGAUAUAUGGAGGAAUACCAGUGGCGAAGGCGGCCUCCUGGCUCGACAUUGACGCUGAGGUGCGAAAGCGUGGGGAGCAAACGGGAUUAGAUACCCCGGUAGUCCACGCCGUAAACGAUGUCUACUAGCUGUAGGGGUACUUGAGACCUUUGUAGCGCAGCUAACGCAAUAAGUAGACCGCCUGGGGAGUACGGCCGCAAGGUUAAAACUCAAAUGAAUUGACGGGGGCCCGCACAAGCAGUGGAGCAUGUGGUUUAAUUCGAUGCAACGCGAAGAACCUUACCAGGCCUUGACAUCCCCGGAACUUUCUAGAGAUAGAUUGGUGCCUUCGGGAACCGGGUGACAGGUGCUGCAUGGCUGUCGUCAGCUCGUGUCGUGAGAUGUUGGGUUAAGUCCCGUAACGAGCGCAACCCUUGUCCUUAGUUGCCAGCACGUAAUGGUGGGAACUCUAAGGAGACUGCCGGUGACAAACCGGAGGAAGGUGGGGACGACGUCAAG
This 666-nucleotide ribosomal RNA is filed under the name uncultured prokaryote. RNAcentral's name for it is "bacterial SSU rRNA". It matches the Rfam family "Bacterial small subunit ribosomal RNA", at positions 524 to 1189 of the family's 1533-position model. The record is from RNAcentral.